Molecule: ribosomal RNA, 401 nt
Filed under: uncultured bacterium
Lineage: Bacteria
Description: bacterial SSU rRNA
Rfam family: Bacterial small subunit ribosomal RNA
Source: RNAcentral
UGGGGAAUAUUGCACAAUGGGCGAAAGCCUGAUGCAGCAACGCCGCGUGAGCGAUGAAGGCCUUCGGGUCGUAAAGCUCUGUCCUCAAGGAAGAUAAUGACGGUACUUGAGGAGGAAGCCCCGGCUAACUACGUGCCAGCAGCCGCGGUAAUACGUAGGGGGCUAGCGUUAUCCGGAAUUACUGGGCGUAAAGGGUGCGUAGGUGGUUUCUUAAGUCAGAGGUGAAAGGCUACGGCUCAACCGUAGUAAGCCUUUGAAACUAGGAAACUUGAGUGCAGGAGAGGAGAGUGGAAUUCCUAGUGUAGCGGUGAAAUGCGUAGAUAUUAGGAGGAACACCAGUUGCGAAGGCGGCUCUCUGGACUGUAACUGACACUGAGGCACGAAAGCGUGGGGAGCAAACA